Long non-coding RNA from Phasianus colchicus (ring-necked pheasant), 3398 nucleotides. RefSeq lists it as uncharacterized. The record is from RefSeq and is a predicted model, not a curated record. NCBI's taxonomy places the organism in Eukaryota, Metazoa, Chordata, Aves, Galliformes, Phasianidae.
GCGGUGCGGGGCGGCGUCCGUCGGAGCGGCGGAGGGGGAAAUGGCGGCCGCGGGCGUUGGGCGGGAGCGGGACCCGCAGCAGGGGGACCAGAGCAGCUGGCCUUCGGCCGGACCCGGAGCGGGUCUGCCCUCUGCCCCGGGGCACGGGUGGCCUCACGGCGUCCCCGUGGAGCUCCCCCCACUCUCGUGGUUUAAGGGCACGUUGUUGGGUUACUUUUCACACCUCCCCAGAAUUGCCGAGAGCUGCCGCUCAGUGAGCGGAGAUUUGCAGCGUGUUCCCGGGAUGCUCGGCACCACGGAGAUCCAAAUCCUGAGGCGUACAGCGCUCUUCUGUGCUGCUGAACCUCGUGCGUUCCUGGCGGUUGUGCUAAAAGCUGCUGUCCCACGGUCACAGCGUGCCUGCUUGCUGCGAAACGUGCGGCGCGACCUCCCUGCAGCUCUGCUGUGCUACCAGCAGAAAAACGCUUCUGAUCGCCAGCACCUGCAGCCCUGUACGUGUACCAGUCGCUUCUUUGUGAAGGAUGGAUGAUUUAAUGUGCAGCGUCAAUGCAAUAGAAUGCAAAGAAAUCAAGAACUGGCGUGUUUCUUGGGUAUUAUUAGAGCCUCUCCUAAUCGUCUCCCCUUCUUACUUCCUGAUCUUCAAUUCCCAAAAUUCCUGGGCUUUUGGGAAAUACUUUAAUUUUUCACUCUUUAUCCUGACUUUUUUCAAGGGCUCCGUAACAAAACUGAAAGUGUUCUUGGCCAGAGUUUGUGAACUUACGGGUAGCGGCUGGGGGCAGAAAAAUAAAUAAAUGCUCUGAACUCGGGCUUGUUCCCGGAUCCACUUGACACUACGCCCUUGUGAGGAAUACCAGCCCUGCAAAAGGGAACAGAAGAGCUCACAACAGGGAGGGGGUUGCACGGCAGCAACAGGAACAGGAGAAACUGGUGCUCCUGACCAGAUGCCUGUAGCCACAGCCGUACUCUGGUUUUCCUCAUUUAGUUGCCUUUAGUCCCCUGGAGUUCUGCUCUGUACAAGACUGCUGCUGACUUCCUUGGGCAUCAUUCAAACAGGUCUCCAGCAAGGACCUUCUCAUCCAACAAAGGGGGAGGGCCGUUUCCCAGACAGCAGGCAGAGCCACCGUGGGAACAGCUGGCCCUACAUCCCACUUCUCCUGCCUGCAGCACACUAGAAGAGGAAGGAGCCAAGGGCCUUUCUGGUUACCGUCUGCUGCUCUUCUGCUUUGUGCUUAGCACAUUAGCGACAGGUCACGAGCUUCCCUGGGGAGAUACCUGCUUUCUUGAAAAGAACACGCAUAAGCUUCUGUAAGGAGGCCCAGCAGCUGGGCUGAGGCACUGCACAACAAUGCAUGAGGCUGUGUGGAAGCAGUCUUUUAUUCUGAGAACUCUCACAGCCAAGUUUCAUCAUUUGUAUUCUGCAGAUAAUUCAAAAACCUUGUUGCUCUGGGAUUCAGCACUUAAAUUUGAUCAGCUCGUUGCAGGGGAUGCCCAGUGCCCAAAGAUUGCGUACAACUUGUGAUUUUAAGGAGUUCCACAGGAUAACGUUCUCCAUGCUGGUCAUCCAGGGAUAGCCAGGAGUAAGGCAAAAAAAGAACAAACAAGGCACAGACACUGCGUUUGAGGGGAAAGGGAGAAGGGGCCUAAAUGAAACUCUUAUGUACAAAACCUCUUCAUACUGGGAAUGCGUGUCAUUCUGUGACCAUAUGUGACUAUUGUAUACUUACUUGCCUUUGCUUCCUCCCUUCUGCUCUGAAGAGGAAGGUGUUUACUGUUCAGGUGUGCACAGGAGCAUCACGUGAGCCAAGCCUGCUUAGCGCAGGCAGCUGCUGAGCUGGUGCUGGACAGGGAUGCUGAGGUCGAAUCAGACACAUGGUACCUGACCUAUGGAACCUAUGGUUUGGGCACAGGUACCUCCAGCUGCUCAUGGUUAUGGUUUCUCAUUUUUGUGCUGUACCUGCCAGUUGUCCUGUACUGAGGGGUAAGUCUUCAUGGGCUUGUUUGCUCAGACCUUUUGUUUUUUUUGUCAGAAAGGAUGUCCCACUUCAUGGUCCUGGCAUAGUUCUUCUGCGUGGCCCAAAUAUAAGUGCAACAAAACUGGCCUUAGAGCAAGCAUGACAGGCUUUGGAGGGAAGUGCAGUGAAGUCCUGUGAAAGGGAACAGCAGCAUGAUGGCAGCAGGAAGACAAGUGCAGAGAUUAGCCUCUUUCCAGCUCACCCUCACAGAAAGUCUUUUCUCAAGAGAGAAUCACUGGCCUCUCAUUAGUUAGCUCCAGCUUAACAGCUUCACUUAAAAUCCCUUCCCUUUGCUUUGAUGCUCUCUGUAAUUGCAGGUCUGCAAUCUUCUAGAACAAAGCAUGAAAACAGCAGUGCUCCCUUACCUGCAGCUGCGCUGGAGCAGUGGUCCCCUCAGGCUGCUUUCUGGGGAACCCCUUUCUGCCCAGAGCUGGGGAUGACUUUCCUGGCAGGCUCCAGCAAGUCAGAAAACUAUAGAGAGCAACGGAUGGUAGAAAUGUGAUAUGCUGCUAAAUCCCACUGCUGCUUUCUGGCCUUUCCCAGGAAUCCCAUGCUUGGAAGUGUACAUUUAUGUCCGUGUCACUGGGACACGAGGCCACCACAUUCUGCUCCCCUUAGCUGUGGGAUGGAGUGCUCUGGCUUUGGGAACCAAAUGAACAGCAGUUGGAAAGAGUCCAAAGAGAAGUAACAAGGAGGCUCAGAGGUUUAGAAAGCCUGCCUGACCUUUGAGGGGAGACUGGGAGAACUGGUCUUGUUUAGUCUAGAGAAGGAAAAGCUGAAGUGAAAUGCAGUAGCAGACCUCAAAUAUAUAAAAGUUCACUGCAGAGCACAAGGCAAUAAACUGUUUCCUAUACUGCUGAAGGACCUACCAAUGGCCAGCACAGCUAACCACUCAAGUACACCAGAAAAUAAAGCUGCUAAAGACUUUAAGGAAUAGGUAGAGAGCUAUAAGAAAAGGCUGAAUUUCUUGAACAGCAGAUCCUGCCAUGAGUCUGGAGGAUGGGAACUGUGUCACCUUCCAGGGACCCUUGCAGCUCUGUUUCAUAGCACUGCAUCACAAUCUGCUUCAGAGGGUAACAUAGAACUGCGAUGCAACAUGACAUGGUUGUAAAAAUGGGAGCAAUAACCCCAUGCAGCUACCCCACAUCAAACCACACAGUGCAAAGUCAUCUCCUUCAUCAACUCUCCAUUCAGGAAGCAGCAGCAAACUUCACACCCUCACGUUUGCAGCAGAUCCACUGCAGAAAGAUGAUACUUGUGGAGCACUACAUCCAACACUGUAAAAUGGAGUUUGGAGGUGACACAUGGCAAGUGAGAAAAUGCCACUGAGCAGCACCAACAGCACAGGACAUGGCCAGCAGCAAACAAGAUCAGCUGCUCUCCUCA